GAUGAACGCUGGCGGCGUGCUUAACACAUGCAAGUCGAACGAUGAAGCCCAGCUUGCUGGGUGGAUUAGUGGCGAACGGGUGAGUAACACGUGAGUAACCUGCCCCUGACUCUGGGAUAAGCCCGGGAAACUGGGUCUAAUACUGGAUAUGACCUGUCACCGCAUGGUGGUGGGUGGAAAGAUUUUUUGGUUGGGGAUGGACUCGCGGCCUAUCAGCUUGUUGGUGAGGUAGUGGCUCACCAAGGCGACGACGGGUAGCCGGCCUGAGAGGGUGACCGGCCACACUGGGACUGAGACACGGCCCAGACUCCUACGGGAGGCAGCAGUGGGGAAUAUUGCACAGUGGGCGCAAGCCUGAUGCAGCGACGCCGCGUGAGGGAUGACGGCCUUCGGGUUGUAAACCUCUUUCAGUAGGGAAGAAGCCUUUGGGUGACGGUACCUGCAGAAGAAGCGCCGGCUAACUACGUGCCAGCAGCCGCGGUAAUACGUAGGGCGCAAGCGUUAUCCGGAUUUAUUGGGCGUAAAGAGCUCGUAGGCGGUUUGUCGCGUCUGCCGUGAAAGUCCGGGGCUUAACUCCGGAUCUGCGGUGGGUACGGGCAGACUAGAGUGCAGUAGGGGAGACUGGAAUUCCUGGUGUAGCGGUGAAAUGCGCAGAUAUCAGGAGGAACACCGAUGGCGAAGGCAGGUCUCUGGGCUGUAACUGACGCUGAGGAGCGAAAGCAUGGGGAGCGAACAGGAUUAGAUACCCUGGUAGUCCAUGCCGUAAACGUUGGGCACUAGGUGUGGGGGACAUUCCACGUUUUCCGCGCCGUAGCUAACGCAUUAAGUGCCCCGCCUGGGGAGUACGGCCGCAAGGCUAAAACUCAAAGGAAUUGACGGGGGCCCGCACAAGCGGCGGAGCAUGCGGAUUAAUUCGAUGCAACGCGAAGAACCUUACCAAGGCUUGACAUGGACUGGAUCGCCGCAGAGAUGUGGUUUCCCUUCGGGGCUGGUUCACAGGUGGUGCAUGGUUGUCGUCAGCUCGUGUCGUGAGAUGUUGGGUUAAGUCCCGCAACGAGCGCAACCCUCGUUCCAUGUUGCCAGCGGGUUAUGCCGGGGACUCAUGGGAGACUGCCGGGGUCAACUCGGAGGAAGGUGAGGACGACGUCAAAUCAUCAUGCCCCUUAUGUCUUGGGCUUCACGCAUGCUACAAUGGCCGGUACAAAGGGUUGCGAUACUGUGAGGUGGAGCUAAUCCCAAAAAGCCGGUCUCAGUUCGGAUUGGGGUCUGCAACUCGACCCCAUGAAGUCGGAGUCGCUAGUAAUCGCAGAUCAGCAACGCUGCGGUGAAUACGUUCCCGGGCCUUGUACACACCGC
RNAcentral lists this ribosomal RNA (1356 nucleotides) under uncultured bacterium. RNAcentral's name for it is "bacterial SSU rRNA". It matches the Rfam family "Bacterial small subunit ribosomal RNA", at positions 28 to 1393 of the family's 1533-position model. The record is from RNAcentral.